UACGUAGGGGGCAAGCGUUGUCCGGAUUUAUUGGGCGUAAAGCGCUCGCAGGUGGUCCGUCGCGUCGUGCGUGAAAGCCCCCGGCUCAACUGGGGAGUGUCGUGCGAUACGGGCGGACUGGAGGCCAGUAGGGGGAUGCGGAAUUCCGGGUGUAGUGGUGGAAUGCGUAGAGAUCCGGAGGAACACCAGCGGCGAAGGCGGCAUCCUGGACUGGUCCUGACACUCAUGAGCGAAAGCGUGGGGAGCGAUCCGGAUUAGAUACCCGGGUAGUCCACGCUGUAAACGAUGCGCACUAGGUGUCGGGGGUAUCGACCCCCUCGGUGCCGCAGCUAACGCGAUAAGUGCGCCGCCUGGGGACUACGGCCGCAAGGCUAAA
This 376-nucleotide ribosomal RNA is filed under the name uncultured bacterium. RNAcentral's name for it is "bacterial SSU rRNA". It matches the Rfam family "Bacterial small subunit ribosomal RNA", at positions 524 to 898 of the family's 1533-position model. The record is from RNAcentral.